RNAcentral lists this transfer RNA (63 nucleotides) under Ips calligraphus. RNAcentral describes it as "tRNA-Cys". Lineage: Eukaryota; Metazoa; Arthropoda; Insecta; Coleoptera; Curculionidae. The record is from RNAcentral.
AUUUUUAUAGUCUAUUUAGGAUAUUGAAUUGCAAAUUCAAAGGAAAAUUCAAUUUUAAAAAUU